This 277-nucleotide unclassified non-coding RNA is filed under the name Hevea brasiliensis (rubber tree). Lineage: Eukaryota; Viridiplantae; Streptophyta; Magnoliopsida; Malpighiales; Euphorbiaceae. The record is from RNAcentral.
UUGUAAAUUAUUUUUGGCCUUUUUGGGAAAAUUCUUUACAAUUCUUAUUUAUAUUGCAUAUUUGAAAAGUUAUGAUGUUCCAAAUUCAAAUGUUUAACAUUUUCCCCCUUUUUUUUCUUGCACCCCUGUUUUAAUAGUCUUAGACCAUUUCCAAUUUAGUGAGCUUGAUUGCAUAACUCAUAUUGACCUGUAUGAUUUACCAUCCAGUCACUGUCCCUGUCUAAUAAGUAUGGCAAAUUUCCUUACAUAGAACUGGGCAGAAGAUCUUCUGAACAUG